GAUGAAGAACGUAGCGAAAUGCGAUACGUAGUGUGAAUUGCAGAAUUCAGUGAAUCAUCGAAUCUUUGAACGCACAUUGCGGCCAUAGGUAUUCCUUUGGCCAUGCCUGUUCGAGCGUCAUUUACACCCUCAAGCCUAGCUUGGUGUUGGGCGUCUGUCCCGCCGUUUUCGCGCGCGGACUCGCCUCAAAGUCAUUGGCGGCGGUCGUGCCGGCCCCCUCGCGCAGCACAUUUGCGCUUCUCGGAGGCCCGGCGGAUCCGCGCUCCAGCAAGACCUUUCACGACUUGACCUCGGAUCAGGUAGGGAUACCCGCUGAACUUAAGCAUAUCAAUAAGCGGAGGA
RNAcentral lists this unclassified non-coding RNA (342 nucleotides) under soil metagenome. Its description in RNAcentral is "partial contains 5.8S ribosomal RNA, internal transcribed spacer 2, and large subunit ribosomal RNA". The stretch from base 1 to 120 matches the Rfam family "5.8S ribosomal RNA", at positions 35 to 154 of the family's 154-position model. The record is from RNAcentral.